CCUACGGGAGGCAGCAGUGGGGGAUAUUGCACAAUGGGGGGAACCCUGAUGCAGCGACGCCGCGUGGGUGAAGAAGCGCCUCGGCGCGGAAAGCCCUGUCAGCAGGGAAGAAAAGGACGGUACCUGAAGAAGAAGCCCCGGCUAACUACGUGCCAGCAGCCGCGGUAAUACGUAGGGGGCAAGCGUUAUCCGGAUUUACUGGGUGUAAAGGGGGCGCAGCCGGCGAGGCAAGCCAGGAGUGAAAGCCCGGGGCCCAACCCCGGGACUGCUCUUGGAACGGCGUGGCUGGAGGGCAGGAGGGGCAGGCGGUCUUCCUGGUGUCGCGGUUCCAUGCUUAGAUCUCCG
RNAcentral lists this ribosomal RNA (345 nucleotides) under uncultured bacterium. Its description in RNAcentral is "partial 16S ribosomal RNA". It matches the Rfam family "Bacterial small subunit ribosomal RNA", at positions 338 to 700 of the family's 1533-position model. The record is from RNAcentral.